GGGGGGAGCAAGCGUUGUUCGGAUUUACUGGGCGUAAAGGGCGCGUAGGCGGCCUCUGCAAGUCGACUGUGAAAUCUCCGGGCUUAACCCGGAAAGGUCAGCCGAUACUGCAGGGCUAGAGUGCAGAAGGGGCAACUGGAAUUCUCGGUGUAGCGGUGAAAUGCGUAGAUAUCGAGAGGAACACCUGCGGCGAAGGCGGGUUGCUGGGCUGACACUGACGCUGAAGUGCGAAAGCUAGGGGAGCGAACGGGAUUAGAUACCCCGGUAGUCCUAGCCUUAAACGAUGAAUGCUUGGUGUCUGGGGUUUUAUAGUCCCCGGGUGCCGUCGCUAACGCUUUAAGCAUUCCGCCUGGGGAGUACGGUCGCAAGACUG
This 373-nucleotide ribosomal RNA is filed under the name uncultured organism. Its description in RNAcentral is "bacterial SSU rRNA". It matches the Rfam family "Bacterial small subunit ribosomal RNA", at positions 527 to 896 of the family's 1533-position model. The record is from RNAcentral.